Molecule: unclassified non-coding RNA, 371 nt
Filed under: Hevea brasiliensis (rubber tree)
Lineage: Eukaryota; Viridiplantae; Streptophyta; Magnoliopsida; Malpighiales; Euphorbiaceae
Source: RNAcentral
UGAAAACUUAAAGUUAAAACUAAGUUCUCCUCUAAUUCUGGAGUUACUAUCCAAGAGCUGCCGCUUAAUCAACCCAGAAUUGAUGAUGAUAAAGAGGUGGAGACACUCACCUCAGGCAAAAAGAGAGUAAGAACUCAAGUUUGGCAUGAACCUAGCAACAAGAAAGUGUGUGUUGAUGAAGAUUGCUGUGAUAAGGUGGAGGAAGCCAGUCUUAAAUGGCCCCAUCUCCUUAAAUGAGACUAUUGAGUUGGAAUUGUCAAGGUGUGGGGAACCCCCUUGACAUUCCACAAUUUCAAAGGGAUUAGCUAAUCCCAUUCCCCAGAUAACAUUUUUCUCAUGGAAACGAUGAAUAAACAAAGGAUAGUUUGGAA